Molecule: RNA transcript, 6359 nt
Organism: Alligator sinensis (Chinese alligator)
Lineage: Eukaryota; Metazoa; Chordata; Crocodylia; Alligatoridae
Gene: TNFSF10
Gene name: TNF superfamily member 10
Exons: 6
Source: RefSeq, a predicted model, not a curated record
ACCAGCCCCGGGGAGGAAACGCCUCUUGUGUUGUGUGUUUGCAGCACACGGCUCCGCGACAGCGGGGCUGCAGGCCAGGGUUGCUGCCCCCGGCCCGGCCCGGCCCUGUCGCGCGUCCUCGCACGUGUGUCUGCCGGGCCAAGCCAUGAUGCUGCCCACGGCCGGCCCCAGCACCGGGCAGACCUGCGGGCUCGUGCUCAUCUCCGCCGUGCUGCUGCAGUCCAUCUGCGUGGCUGUGACUUUCCUCUACUUCACUAACGAGCUGAAGCAGCUCCGGGACACAUACUCCAAGAGUGGCAUUGCCUGCCUCACUGGGGAAGAACUGGGAACUUUCAUGGGAGACUUGGAUCUAAACAGAAUAGAAGAGAGAGAGCAAGACCCCUGCUGGCAAGUAAAGUGGGAGCUAGGAAAGUUAAUUAAAAAGAUCAUGUCAAGAUACUAUGAAGAAAACAUGUCUGCAGUGAAAGCUGAAACUUCGCUAAGUCUUUCAACAACUGAAGAUCAGGAAUCUCAGACUCCCGUGCACAGAGUAGCAGCUCACAUAACUGGAAACAGCAAUAGGAUGAGUUCAUCAUUCACACAAAAUUCCUCAUUCAGAAGAGGAUACGGAAAGAAAAUAUACUCUUGGGAAGCAUCAAGGAAAGGCCAUUCUUUUCUCUACAAUGUGGAACUGAGAAACGGGGAGUUGAUCAUACCCAAAACAGGGUUUUAUUACAUCUACUGUCAAACUUACUUCCGAUUCCGUGAACCAGAGGAUGAGGAUUCAGACUCAGAUUUAUCGGAGCAAAUCAGAAACCCUAAACAAAUGGUCCAGUAUGUUUACAAACUGACCAGUUAUCCAGAACCCAUCCUUCUUCUGAAAAGUGCAAGAAGUAGCUGCUGGUCUAAAAAGGCAGAGUAUGGACUUUACUCCAUAUACCAAGGAGGAGUGUUUCAACUAAAAAGGAAUGACAGGAUUUUUGUCUCUGUCAGUAAUGAGGACAUAGUUGACAUGGACAAAGAAGCAAGCUUUUUUGGGGCCUUUUUGAUCAGCUAAAUGCUUAAGACAAAGGCAAACCCCAAAUGAAUCAGGUUUUCAUUUUCAGGACUUAGUUUUCUAUAAAUACUCUAAACAAGGGAAUGAAAAGCCUCGUAUUCCAAAGCAGUCAUGACAAUGUGAGACUCCCCAUUGUCAGUGGAAGGUCUGAUUGCACUGAGAAAUGGUCCUUACAGUCCAUAAGGAAGAGCAGCUGAUGGCUGAAGCUGCAUGUGACCAUAACUUGUAUAAGAGCCAAGCAGAUCCCCAAACAUGAUCUCUCAUUUCCAGCCAGUGAACUGAGUUGGAAGGAUUUUAACAUGCCAAAGAUUAAUACCUUCAGCUAGAACCAGAUCAUGUGCAGGUAGGCACUGUCCACAGUUGUUUGUACAACUUUACCAAAGCAUCGGCUGUUAUUUGUGGCAGUCCAUAUACACAUGAUUUGCAUAGUGACAAGAUUGAGACUGGCUACUUGCAUAGCAAUUAGACUGAGGUUGGAAAAUGGAUGUUGCUUGUGGUCAUCUUGUGGGAGCCUACCAGGCAUAUGCUGUAAGUCUCCUUACAAAAGCAGUCCCUCUAGUAUCAAGGAGAUAGUUGUCAUAAGUAAGGGUUUGCACAGCAGCCCUACAUAUUACAGAAGUUCAAGAUAAGCCAAAAUGUAGAACACAGCAGCAUUUUAUAUUCAGUGAAGCUCUAAUCCACCAAAGCAUUUAAGUACAUACCUAACAUGAAGCUUCUGACUAGCCCAGUUGGAAUCAGUGGACUACUCAUGUGCUGAGUUGAACAUGUGCACAAGUGCUUUGUAGGAUCACAGCCCGACCACACAGAUUACUCGUGCCUUCAUUCGAAUGUUGUACAGAGGAUAGGAAACAAAUAACCAAUGUUGUAAUGACACGGCAGAGCCACAAAAAUCAGUCAAUAUUUUGAGUUCCCAACACAUUAUGGUAAUAUAUUGCUUUGUGGCUGCAUAUUGGACUGCAGAUCUUUUGCCACAUCACCAUAUAUUCAAUUGAGCAACUGCAAUCAUACAUAGUGAGAGUGAGUAUUUGAUCCAGAAUGAAGGUAUUUUUCCUUUAAAUGUUGCAUUCUGCUAAAACUGUAUCAUUUUGCACACAGUGGGCCCACCUAUAUGUGUCCCUAUGGCAUCAUUGUUACUGCGCCGCCGUUUAGUACUUUCUUUUGGAAGUACUAAAUGAUGGCGCAGUAACAGCCCGUACUGUGCCACGCUGGUGGUGCGCGGUUAUUUUUAGCUGCUAUGUUGCCAUAGCAAUGUGCUAUUCUGAGGGAGUGCGUUGCUACGGCGAUAUAGCAAUGGUGUCAUGGUUUUUGCCCGCAGACGCUACGUUGCCAGAGUGGGUUGCUACAGCGAUGUAGCAUCGUGUGUAAAAGUGUCCACUGAGUGCGACAGAGUUUGUCACGUAUAUCGGUCUGCAGCCGCGUGCGAGGAUGUGAUGACGAGAAAUGCAUUCUGAUGACUGAUUUUUUAGGAGAACCUUUUCAGUCCUAGACAAAACACACAUCACUAUCUGUGCUGAUUUUUUGCUAAUGCUGUUGAUUUGCUGGGAGGGGGAGGGUUUUCUUAUUUCGUUUUUUGUUUUAUAGGGACAUGCGAGGACUUCAUAGCAUUUAUUUUUUUUACUGGAACUGAAAACUAUAUUUGUUAGCUACGUGAUUAGAACUGUGAAACGUUUCCAGGAGUAAGCAAUAUGGCCAGCUAAUAUAAGUCAUCAUCAGCAUCUGCACUGACUUAAGUGGAGCUAUAUCAAUUUAUUCUGUCUGUUCCGGCUCUUCUUCAGUGAUAAUGCUGUGUAUUUCUAAAAGCAGCAGCAGUUAAAAAGCAGUAAGGCAAGGAAGAUAAUAUGAAUCAAAUUCUCUACAGAUGUAACUUAAUAGAAUUAAAUGAGCAGAGAAUAAGCACGUCUUAUAUUUUUUGAUAUAAUAAGGUUGCCUUAGGAGCCAUAAAAUGAUGGAAGCCACAAAACCACCGUACUUACCUGGCUUAUGGGCUACAUGAUAAAAUAUGUGCAAUGUUCAUCCUGCUACUUUGUUUUUGGAUCAGGAAAUGAAUUUACGUGAACCAUCUUACUUACAUUUACUAUAAUAAGGCAAAAGUGUAAGUAUACCAGCUGUUUACUGUUUUCCUUGUCCCUGAGCACCAAGAAAAGCAUUUACCAGUUAGAACAAUGAAGCAAAUGCAAGGAGAAGUAUAAACACACGCGUCCGUUCUGUUUGCAUACGGAGCAAAAUGUAUAAAUUUUAGUCGUAAUCAAUUCUGUGAAUUGUUCUAUUGCUUAUAAUACCUCUGCUUUCAUUGUACUCAUGACUCUCACAUUAUGCAGUCCAUACAGACUGUAUGAAGACUAGUCCCAGCUUGUUAUUUGAAACAUUAUUUAAUUGGAUAACUUUCUGACUUUGAACACAGUCAGUUGCAGUCAAGAGUGCAUCCACCAGUUCAGUUUAGACCAGUUUCACACUGGUCACUAUUGACUGGUGGAUGCACUCUUGACUAAUACCCUGCAUGAAACCAGAAUCAUAACCUAGAUAUGUAGCUACCUAUAAGCCAGACUGUCACUCUUGCUUUAAUUACAUUGUAUUGUACACCCUGAUCCUGAAAUAGGACUGCUUGCAAUGCACAGAAGCUAAGUAUAUGUGAUGGCUGGUUGUUUCAUUUUGAUGUUAAUGACAUGGAUUGUAGAGUGAGGGCUGAAGCCUGCUCCCAUUGAGAACAAUGGAAAAACUUGAAUGGUGGAAGAUCAAGACCUUAAAAGGGAGCUUUUCUAUCGACUUCAGUGCAAAUGGGGAAGGCAGAUGAAGGGGAUUGAGCCACUUCCCUCUGCAUACACACAUGCAGAGAAGAGCAAGUAUGCAUGGGAACAGGCUGUACAGGUGCACUCUACGCUGGGAAGUUCAAACAAGGAUGCUGCCUCCUGGAAACACUGGCAUUCACCUGAGUUCUGCCUGGGUUGGUGGGUCCAUAUCACCACUGCAGCUUGGGGCAGAAUCAAAACAGCACCAUCUGGCCAACACUAUUCACCAUUCACACUCCUUUAAUCUAUUAUCUUGCAUAUUUCUUCCCAUACAACACACCUUUUUCCAAAAAAUCUGCCCGCUAAAUUGGGGUGUAUGCAUUAAACAGGGAAGCUGAUUUUCUGCCCAGGAUAGAAGCAUCCUGCUUUGAUUCCUUCUCCACUGUGCAGCACCUGUAGCAUUACUGUUUGGGCAGCUGAGGGAGUCAAUUCACUUCAUGGCUUUUUGUUCUUCAUUUCUUAGGUGUUAACAUCCUCUCUCCUUAUUAAUGGUCUUCAUGUUCCAUCAAUCAAGCUAACUUUUCUGAGGCAACUUUUGCUAUUGACUAGCUAUUCCCGGUCUCUCUCCUUAUUUCCCAGCCCUGGAGAUUUUUUAGCUAUUUUCAAGAUCGUAUAUCUAUCUAUGGAGAUCAGUCUUCAGCAGCAGCUAGGGUUUCAGCUUUAGUUAGGCAAGAAGGGGAAGGUGAAAUUAAAACAAAGAUUAAGCUCUGUCCCUGAGCUAUGCAACCAUAACUCUGAAGAAAUCUUUCCCCCCCGCCACUUCAUUCUUCCUUUCAAAAACAAGGUAUGUAUUAUAUUCUGGGGAGUGCUGUAUGCAAGAACAUAAGAGCAUAUGGUACUUCAUUGCACCAGUCCUAAAGGCUCCAGACAUUGUUUUAUGUACAACAAUAUAACUGCAAUAUGGUCCAUGUCCUAGUGAUCAUACAAGCCAGGUAAAUUUACUACAAUGAUUGUGUUAUUAUUUAUCUGGAGUGCAGGACACUUCAAACCAUGGUAAUCAAGCCUCCAGUCCUGCAAGCUAAUUCAUAUGAGUGGAUCUCUGCAUCUACGCAGAGCCCCAUUAAAGCCAAGCCAGAGGUCUUCCAUGACUAAAAGCCCAAGUUUGUAACGAGGCUCCCUAGUAUAUGCCUCAAAAUGAUAGUUCAUUUUAUAUCUCUUGCUUUUGACUCAUUGUUAUGGGAACACAUUAGCUAAUUGGUUUUCAUUACACAGAUUACUGUUGCUUCCCUAUUAGUUAAUUGAAUUAAUAUUGUUUUCAUUUCAGUAAUACCCAAACAGCAUCAGAGCCUCAUAGUAUUAGGUGUAAGAAUGCAUGGCACGAACUCUGAUACAAACCGCAUGUUUUUCGGAUUAAGCUAAUAUCAGCUAUUAGGGCUUAAGAGAAGACCUAAUGUGAGAAGCAGAUAAUCCCACAUCUGCUUAAUGUUGUACCUUCCUCCAAAGCCUUGAGGGCCUGCCAGUGUCAGAAAGGGGAUAGUGGAUCAGAUGGACCUUUUUACUCAGAUCCGGAUAUGAAAUUCCUGAAAAAUAUGCCAGAGGUCAGCAACAUACAGCCCACAGUGCCAAUGGAUCUAGUCUGCAGAGCUGGAGGGCUUUGCCUGUGCCUGCAUCAUGUAGGACUGGGCAGAAGCAGCUGUAUCUGUGCUGCCGUGGCUUCUCCCUGCCUCUCCCCCUCCCACAGCUGCAGUGUGGGUGCAGCUUCCAGUCAAUGGGGAGCUGUACCAGGGCCAGGCAGCUUCCAGGUGUGCUUGUGCCGCAGCCAAGAGGCAGGGGUUAAUGAGGAGAAAAGGCAGCAGUAUAGACACAGUUUGCAGCUGUUUGGCCCUGGUGCAACUCCCCACUAGCUGGAAGAGCUGGGGGAAGUGGUGGUGGUGCAGCACAGCUGCCUGGCCCCAGCAUGGGCACAGGGAAAGCCGCCCUGCUGCUGAUUCACCACUGAAACCACUUAGCCCACAUCAGACAAGAGCUAAGUUGUUCUGGCCCACCACUUGUUAAAGGUUGCGCCUGGGACAAAGGUUGCUAAAGGGGCUCCUUAUUCCAGGGACUGGAAUAUAGCACCCCGUUUCUCCUAGCCUUUUGAAUCUAUUGCACAAGAGUCUCUUGUCAUUUUUAGUGCCCUUCUCUGGAAACUUUGUGUUCUUCUUAAGAUGAAACAACAGAAACUGAGUAUCACAUUCAAGGUUAAAUAUGUACCAUCAGUUUAUAUAGUAACAGAUGUGGAUUUAUGCACGGGCCUGUGGGCCUCUGCCAGUCAGGGGUCCCCUGGGUGUCUGGGUUCCCUCGGGAAAUGGUGGGUUUCCCCUUGAGGCCCCCACGGUAAAGGAGGGAUGGGGCAGGGCCUGGGGGUGCUGCCCAGCCAGGGCAGUGCAUGGGAUCUAGGGCUGGGACAGGGAGCAGGACAGAGCCCUCGUUCAGGAGGUGUGGGUAGAGCAUCUCCCUCCCACUGCAUGCACCCCCUGGGGGAGGGGGGGCCAUGUGCCCCUCCAUAUUUGUGCACGGGGCAGAUGCAGGCUGCUCACUGUGGGCUCAGGGCUCUC